GGGCGCAUAGCUCAGCGGGAGAGCACUCGCCUUACAAGCGAGCGGUCGCAGGUUCAAAUCCUGCUGCGCCCACCA
RNAcentral lists this transfer RNA (75 nucleotides) under Nocardioidaceae bacterium. Its description in RNAcentral is "tRNA-Val". It matches the Rfam family "tRNA". Rfam says of the family: Transfer RNA (tRNA) molecules are approximately 80 nucleotides in length. Their secondary structure includes four short double-helical elements and three loops (D, anti-codon, and T loops). Lineage: Bacteria; Bacillati; Actinomycetota; Actinomycetes; Propionibacteriales; Nocardioidaceae. RNAcentral also lists the same sequence under 3 other names. The record is from RNAcentral.